UACGAACCGUCCAAACGUUAUUCGGUAUCACUGGGCUUAAAGCGUGCGUAGGCGGCUUGGUAGGUGAGAUGUGAAAGCCCACGGCUCAACCGUGGAAUUGCGUUUCAAACCCCCAAGCUCGAGGAAGAUAGGGGUGAUGGGAACUUAUGGUGGAGCGGUGAAAUGCGUUGAUAUCAUAGGGAACACCGGUGGCGAAAGCGCAUCACUGGAUCUUUUCUGACGCUGAGGCACGAAAGCUAGGGUAGCGAACGGG
RNAcentral lists this ribosomal RNA (253 nucleotides) under uncultured bacterium. RNAcentral describes it as "partial 16S ribosomal RNA". It matches the Rfam family "Bacterial small subunit ribosomal RNA", at positions 524 to 776 of the family's 1533-position model. The record is from RNAcentral.